UGGGGAAUAUUGGACAAUGGGGGGAACCCUGAUCCAGCCAUGCCGCGUGUGUGAAGAAGUCCUUAUGGUUGUAAAGCACUUUAAGCGAGGAGGAGGGUACUGGUAUUAAUACUACCAGGUACUGGACGUUACUCGCAGAAUAAGCACCGGCUAACUCUGUGCCAGCAGCCGCGGUAAUACAGAGGGUGCGAGCGUUAAUCGGAUUUACUGGGCGUAAAGCGUGCGUAGGCGGCUAAUUGAGUCGGAUGUGAAAUCCCCGAGCUUAACUUGGGAAUUGCAUUCGGUACUGGUUAGCUAGAGUGUGGGAGAGGAUGGUAGAAUUCCAGGUGUAGCGGUGAAAUGCGUAGAGAUCUGGAGGAAUACCGAUGGCGAAGGCAGCCAUCUGGCCUAACACUGACGCUGAGGUACGAAAGCAUGGGGAGCAAACAGG
This 430-nucleotide ribosomal RNA is filed under the name Pseudomonadota bacterium. Its description in RNAcentral is "Proteobacteria bacterium partial 16S ribosomal RNA". It matches the Rfam family "Bacterial small subunit ribosomal RNA", at positions 355 to 776 of the family's 1533-position model. The record is from RNAcentral. Lineage: Bacteria; Pseudomonadati; Pseudomonadota.